RNAcentral lists this ribosomal RNA (426 nucleotides) under Photobacterium sp. R-89. RNAcentral's name for it is "bacterial SSU rRNA". It matches the Rfam family "Bacterial small subunit ribosomal RNA", at positions 258 to 676 of the family's 1533-position model. The record is from RNAcentral. Lineage: Bacteria; Pseudomonadati; Pseudomonadota; Gammaproteobacteria; Vibrionales; Vibrionaceae.
UAAGGGCUCACCAAGGCGACGAUCCCUAGCUGGUCUGAGAGGAUGAUCAGCCACACUGGAACUGAGACACGGUCCAGACUCCUACGGGAGGCAGCAGUGGGGAAUAUUGCACAAUGGGGGAAACCCUGAUGCAGCCAUGCCGCGUGUAUGAAGAAGGCCUUCGGGUUGUAAAGUACUUUCAGCAGUGAGGAAGGUGGUGUCGUUAAUAGCGGCAUUGCUUGACGUUAGCUGCAGAAGAAGCACCGGCUAACUCCGUGCCAGCAGCCGCGGUAAUACGGAGGGUGCGAGCGUUAAUCGGAAUUACUGGGCGUAAAGGCCCACCAGGCGGUCUGUUAAGCAAGAUGUGAAAGCCCGGGGCUUAACCUCGGAACUGCAUUUUGAACUGGCAGACUAGAGUCUUGUAGAGGGGGGUAGAAUUUCAGGUGU